CAGCCGCCGCGGGAAUACGAAGGGUGCGAGCGUUAAUCGGAAUUACUGGGCGUAAAGCGUGCGUAGGCGGUUUGUUAAGUCUGUUGUGAAAUCCCCGGGCUCAACCUGGGAAUGGCAAUGGAUACUGGCAAGCUAGAGUGUGUCAGAGGAUGGUGGAAUUCCCGGUGUAGCGGUGAAAUGCGUAGAGAUCGGGAGGAACAUCAGUGGCGAAGGCGGCCAUCUGGGACAACACUGACGCUGAGGCACGAAAGCGUGGGGAGCAAACAGGAUUAGAUACCCCUGUAGUCCCUGUCUCUUAUAC
This 301-nucleotide ribosomal RNA is filed under the name uncultured bacterium. Its description in RNAcentral is "partial 16S ribosomal RNA". It matches the Rfam family "Bacterial small subunit ribosomal RNA", at positions 509 to 807 of the family's 1533-position model. The record is from RNAcentral.